This 407-nucleotide ribosomal RNA is filed under the name uncultured bacterium. RNAcentral's name for it is "partial 16S ribosomal RNA". It matches the Rfam family "Bacterial small subunit ribosomal RNA", at positions 30 to 526 of the family's 1533-position model. The record is from RNAcentral.
AUUGAACGCUGGCGGCAGGCCUAACACAUGCAAGUCGAGCGGAGCGGCGGACGGGGGAGUGAUGCCUAGGAAGCUGCCUGUUAGUGGGGGAUAACGUCCGGAAACGGGCGCUAAUAACGCAUACUAGCAGAGGAGCCUAGGGCGGAUUAGCUGGUUGGUGGGGUAACGGCCUACCAAGGCGACGAUGCAUAACUGGUCUGAGAGGAUGAUGAGUCACACUGGAACUGAGACACGGUCCAGACUCCUACGGGAGGCAGCAGUGGGGAAUAUUGGACAAUGGGCGAAAGCCUGAUCCAGCCAUGCCGCGUGUGUGAAGAAGGUUUUCGGAUUGUAAAGCACUUUUAGUUGGGAAGCGGUACCAACAGAAUAAGCACCGGCUAACUUCGUGCCAGCAGCCGCGGUAAUAC